This 77-nucleotide transfer RNA is filed under the name Muiribacterium halophilum (SeqCode). RNAcentral describes it as "bacterium BM706 tRNA-Arg". It matches the Rfam family "tRNA". From Rfam's summary of the family: Transfer RNA (tRNA) molecules are approximately 80 nucleotides in length. Their secondary structure includes four short double-helical elements and three loops (D, anti-codon, and T loops). Further hydrogen bonds mediate the characteristic L-shaped molecular structure. tRNAs have two regions of fundamental functional importance: the anti-codon, which is responsible for specific mRNA codon recognition, and the 3' end, to which the tRNAs corresponding amino acid is attached (by aminoacyl-tRNA synthetases). tRNAs cope with the degeneracy of the genetic code in two manners: having more than one tRNA (with a specific anti-codon) for a particular amino acid; and 'wobble' base-pairing, i.e. permitting non-standard base-pairing at the 3rd anti-codon position. Lineage: Bacteria; Candidatus Muiribacteriota; Muiribacteriia (SeqCode); Muiribacteriaceae (SeqCode). The record is from RNAcentral.
GCGCCUGUAGCUCAGUUGGAUAGAGCAACGGAUUGCGGAUCCGUAGGUCAGUGGUUCGAAUCCACCCAGGCGUGCCA